AGGCGGGCCGCCCUGAUUGGCGUGCGGGGCCGGCGGCCGCGCUCCGACGGCACCGGGGCAGGGCAGGGCAGGGCAAGGCAAGGCAAAGCGGCCGAGGGGCCGCGGCGGACACGGCGGCUCUGGCCUCGCUCCUGGCCCCGGCUGGCCACAGCCCCUCGACACGUUGGAGCGGAAGCACAGAGAGUUUGAGUGCCUGAACACAUGUGGAACCCAGCACAGUGUGAUCAGGAGAGGGCCUGUCACAUGCUCUAAAUCCUUGUGCAAAUCUGAAGCAGAAUCUUCAUGCUGCAGUAAAUGGUUGCCCAGCCCAUGCUACCUUUCAAAUCCACAUGCAGGACACUGCUUAAAAUGCCAAAGAGCAUGGACAAGGCAGUUUCUCCCUGCUGAUCCUCCCAUGGGGCUUCCAGUAAGAGCUUUCUGCUGCACCUGGUCACUGAUCCGUGGCUACAGGAGCAUUGAUCCCUGGUUAAUCUUCACUCGGGACAAGGAUGGGCUAAUAAUAUAUCUUCCUGUGAGAACUGUGGUUUCAAAAAAUCAGCCGUUUCACUCCUGUGAUUUUGCAGUUGGUCUUCUGGCAGGGAUGUGUGGAAUAGAAACAGUGAAGUUGUAA
Molecule: long non-coding RNA, 610 nt
Filed under: Cyanistes caeruleus (blue tit)
Lineage: Eukaryota; Metazoa; Chordata; Aves; Passeriformes; Paridae
Description: lncRNA (ENSCCEG00000005207.1)
Source: RNAcentral